GGGUCCGUAAGGGCCGUGCACAGGUGGUGCAUGGUUGUCGUCAGCUCGUGUCGUGAGAUGUUGGGUUAAGUCCCGCAACGAGCGCAACCCUCGUUCCAUGUUGCCAGCACGUAGUGGUGGGGACUCAUGGGAGACUGCCGGGGUCAACUCGGAGGAAGAGUGGGGAUGACGUCAAGUCAUCAUGCCCCUUAUGUCCAGGGCUUCACGCAUGCUACAAUGGCCGGUACAAAGGGUUGC
RNAcentral lists this ribosomal RNA (237 nucleotides) under uncultured Actinomycetes bacterium. RNAcentral's name for it is "uncultured actinobacterium partial 16S ribosomal RNA". It matches the Rfam family "Bacterial small subunit ribosomal RNA", at positions 1013 to 1250 of the family's 1533-position model. Lineage: Bacteria; Bacillati; Actinomycetota; Actinomycetes. The record is from RNAcentral.